RNAcentral lists this ribosomal RNA (490 nucleotides) under uncultured bacterium. RNAcentral describes it as "partial 16S ribosomal RNA". It matches the Rfam family "Bacterial small subunit ribosomal RNA", at positions 30 to 507 of the family's 1533-position model. The record is from RNAcentral.
AUUGAACGCUGGCGGCAGGCCUAACACAUGCAAGUCGAACGGUAACAGGAAGAAGCUUGCUUCUUUGCUGACGAGUGGCGGACGGGUGAGUAAUGUCUGGGAAACUGCCUGAUGGAGGGGGAUAACUACUGGAAACGGUAGCUAAUACCGCAUAACGUCGCAAGACCAAAGAGGGGGACCUUCGGGCCCCUUGCCAUCGGAUGUGCCCAGAUGGGAUUAGCUAGUAGGUGGGGUAACGGCUCACCUAGGCGACGAUCCCUAGCUGGUCUGAGAGGAUGACCAGCCACACUGGAACUGAGACACGGUCCAGACUCCUACGGGAGGCAGCAGUGGGGAAUAUUGCACAAUGGGCGCAAGCCUGAUGCAGCCAUGCCGCGUGUAUGAAGAAGGCCUUCGGGUUGUAAAGUACUUUCAGCGGGGAGGAAGGGAGUAAAGUUAAUACCUUGACUCAUUGACGUUACCCGCAGAAGAAGCACCGGCUAACUCCGUG